RNAcentral lists this ribosomal RNA (274 nucleotides) under uncultured bacterium. RNAcentral's name for it is "partial 16S ribosomal RNA". It matches the Rfam family "Bacterial small subunit ribosomal RNA", at positions 523 to 796 of the family's 1533-position model. The record is from RNAcentral.
CUACGGAGGGUGCAAGCGUUAUGCGGAAUCACUGGGCGUAAAGGACGCGUAGGCGGGUUGGCAAGUCAGAUGUGAAAUCCUACAGCUUAACUGUAGAACUGCAUUUGAAACUGCUAACCUAGAGUAUGGGAGGGGGAGAUGGAAUUAGUGGUGUAGGGGUAAAAUCCGUAGAUAUCACUAGGAAUACCGAAAGCGAAGGCGAUCUCCUGGAACAUAACUGACGCUAAGGCGUGAAAGCGUGGGGAGCAAACAGGAUUAGAAACCCUAGUAGUCC